GACGUAGGGCGCGAGCGUUGUCCGGAUUUAUUGGGCGUAAAGAGCUCGUAGGCGGCUUGUCGCGUCGGCUGUGAAAACCCGCGGCUCAACUGUGGGCGGGCAGCUGAUACGGGCAGGCUGGAGUUCGGUAGGGGAGACUGGAAUUCCUGGUGUAGCGGUGAAAUGCGCAGAUAUCAGGAGGAACACCGGUGGCGAAGACGGGUCUCUGGGCCGAUACUGACGCUGAGGAGCGAAAGCGUGGGGAGCGAACAGG
This 253-nucleotide ribosomal RNA is filed under the name uncultured bacterium. RNAcentral describes it as "partial 16S ribosomal RNA". It matches the Rfam family "Bacterial small subunit ribosomal RNA", at positions 524 to 776 of the family's 1533-position model. The record is from RNAcentral.